AUUGGUGUAUGUAAAUAAAUACAUGCGCCUUUUUUUAACGGAGUAAUAGAAUGGCCCGUAUAGCUGGCGUCAACAUUCCUGAC
Molecule: non-coding RNA, 83 nt
Organism: Neptuniibacter sp. Phe_28
Lineage: Bacteria; Pseudomonadati; Pseudomonadota; Gammaproteobacteria; Oceanospirillales; Oceanospirillaceae
Source: Rfam